CGGACGGGUGAGUAAUGUCUGGGAAACUGCCUGAUGGAGGGGGAUAACUACUGGAAACGGUAGCUAAUACCGCAUAACGUCGCAAGACCAAAGAGGGGACCUUCGGGCCUCUUGCCAUCAGAUGUGCCCAGAUGGGAUUAGCUUGUUGGUGGGGUAACGGCUCACCAAGGCGACGAUCCCCAGCUGGUCUGAGAGGAUGACCAGCCACACUGGAACUGAGACACGGUCCAG
This 231-nucleotide ribosomal RNA is filed under the name uncultured Enterobacterales bacterium. Its description in RNAcentral is "partial 16S ribosomal RNA". It matches the Rfam family "Bacterial small subunit ribosomal RNA", at positions 99 to 334 of the family's 1533-position model. The record is from RNAcentral. Lineage: Bacteria; Pseudomonadati; Pseudomonadota; Gammaproteobacteria; Enterobacterales.